AUUAUAUAUUACGGGAGCUUGGUGGGACCAGGCUGAGAGGAUAGUUGUAACUAUCGACCGUCAAACCUGAUCUGGAUAAUGCCAGCGGAGGAAUUGGAGUUCUAUUUCU
RNAcentral lists this non-coding RNA (109 nucleotides) under Paenibacillus sp. RNAcentral's name for it is "TPP sequence". It matches the Rfam family "TPP riboswitch aptamer (THI element)". Rfam says of the family: Vitamin B(1) in its active form thiamin pyrophosphate (TPP) is an essential coenzyme that is synthesised by coupling of pyrimidine and thiazole moieties in bacteria. The previously detected thiamin-regulatory element, thi box was extended, resulting in a new, highly conserved RNA secondary structure, the THI element, which is widely distributed in eubacteria and also occurs in some archaea. RNAcentral also lists the same sequence under 1 other name. The record is from RNAcentral. Lineage: Bacteria; Bacillati; Bacillota; Bacilli; Caryophanales; Paenibacillaceae.